Molecule: ribosomal RNA, 480 nt
Filed under: uncultured bacterium
Lineage: Bacteria
Description: partial 16S ribosomal RNA
Rfam family: Bacterial small subunit ribosomal RNA
Source: RNAcentral
GACGAACGUUGGCGGCGUGCUUAAUACAUGCAAGUCAACUGAAGCAGUGGUAGCAAUAUCGCUGUGGAGGUGGCGCACGGGUGAGUAACACGUAGGUAAUCUGCCUUCAGGUCUGGCAUAACUCCGGGAAACCGGGGCUAAUAGCAGAUGAUGCAGCGGCUCGACAUCGAGACAGUUGUUAAAGCUAUGGCGCCUGAAGAUGAGCCUGCGUCUGAUUAGCUAGUUGGCGGGGUAACGGCCCACCAAGGCAACGAUCAGUAGCUGGUCUGAGAGGAUGAUCAGCCACACUGGAACUGAGACACGGUCCAGACUCCUACGGGAGGCAGCAGUAAGGAAUAUUGCUCAAUGGGAGAAAUCCUGAAGCAGCAACGCCGCGUGAGGGACGAAGGGCUUUUGCUUGUAAACCUCUGUAGUGAGAGAAAAAAAUCCCAAUCUUUGGGACAUGAUGGUACCUCAAAAGUAAGCCCCGGCUAACUACGU